UAUUUUUGUCUUAAAGGAUACGGGUUUUUGAAAGUAAAGGAGCAAUAUCAACAGAGUUUCUAUUGCUCCUUUACUUUUUUUUUUGACAUUGCAAAGUCAUAUGUUUAAAAAAAAAGAACAAAUGAAUGCUUCCAUUCUUUUGCUUUUUGUAUCCCAUCCUAUCUUAUCUUAGAAAACGAGUCAAAACUAAAGUUAGAGAAGAAACAUAAAAAUAAUAACAAAAGAAAAGAGUAUAAAUGGUAUGGUUUAGUCUAGGAGAUU
This 261-nucleotide unclassified non-coding RNA is filed under the name Dalbergia benthamii. Its description in RNAcentral is "contains psbA-trnH intergenic spacer". The record is from RNAcentral. Lineage: Eukaryota; Viridiplantae; Streptophyta; Magnoliopsida; Fabales; Fabaceae.